AUGGGGAUCAAGUGGGUUGCCAGGGAACCUUUACCCACUUGGAAUUAGACAGGAGCUUAGGCAACUGAAGGCAUGUGACCUCUGUCAAGAUCCCUCGUACCCACAUUAAGCCAUGCAAAGAACACUGGUAAAGCACAGGUGCCCUUGGCCAUCCCUCACUCAGAACAACACUUCACAUUCCCCUCCAUCUUCCACUUGUGUUGGUGAUGGAAGAGACAACCAGAGGUCUACCAAGUGUAUUUUCUUUUACUUCUACCAUAAUAGAGCUGUGGUUGGACAUGUGGUCAUCUGUCCAGGUCUUGAAUUUCCAUUGCCCUUUGCUAUACGGGAUGGCUGUUAGGCCAAGUUUUUACCGAUAGGUUAAGAGUGAACAUCAUGCAUGCAGUCUAGAAGUUAGGAGCCUUAAGGUGGUGAGUGGACCUCUUCCACAUUUUCACCUUUUCUUCAAGACCAGUUGGGAACUGGCUGCAGCAGUGACCUUAGCCUGGACCAUGGUCCAACUCCUGGACCAUGACAGAGCAAGAAUAGGAAACGAACCUGGGACCUGAAUAACCGUGGAACAGCCACUGUAUCCUCUGAGGAGAGCCAGCGAGGUUCACUCGGAGUAACUUGCUUCACUCUACUCAUUAUACCGAAGGCUUGUAGGCUGCCGACACAGACCAGGUUGCCACAUGACCUUGGGUGAUCAAGAAGGCAAGCUUUAACGCAUCAGCGAGUCUGUUUACUUUGUUAAGAAUCAACUGUGCACUCUCCAGAGCUGCAGCCCUACUGCCACAGCCAGGGACAAGCAAUUCGUCUGCUUUUGCAUUCCCAGAGGAUUUUCAGCACAAACAGGAGGAGUAAAUGUACCCAUCCCUCCCCACUCUAAUAGGUCUCCUCUUUUCCAGAAUUAUUUAAUGAAUUACAUAUGACACACUGAAACUGUCCACCACGUAUGUGUUGGUUUGCUGGGACGGACACACAGGGCCACCAUCAUCACCUGGAACCAGAGAGGGCAACCACACAGAGAGGAAGGUGCCAUGUGGACAGGAAGGCCAGAGGACUCAGAGCGCAGGACCGGGGCCUCGGAAGGGGAACGCCCUUUCUCAACAGAAAGAAAAAACUGGACUCGUCUCCUUUGCCAUCCCCUUCUCUGUCUCUUCCUCUGGUUGAUGUCCAACCAUUUAAUGGACCUACUGUUUCAGUGACAGAGAGCUGGGUUCAAUUCCCAUCUCCUCUACGGAACCUUCCUCAUCUCCACGAAGCCAGACAUGACACAUGGGUCAAGAAAUCUAAUCUUCUGCAGCUAGCUACAAAUUUAAGUGAUAAAGAAAGUUUGAGAGCAUCAUUUCUACUAUCUUACUCAACCCUACUUCUGUUAAUGAUGAGUCACUGAAGUGCCAAGAAUAG
This 1389-nucleotide long non-coding RNA is filed under the name Ictidomys tridecemlineatus (thirteen-lined ground squirrel). Its description in RNAcentral is "lncRNA (ENSSTOG00000033720.1)". Lineage: Eukaryota; Metazoa; Chordata; Mammalia; Rodentia; Sciuridae. The record is from RNAcentral.